CUAGCUACAGGCUUAACACAUGCAAGUCGAGGGGCAGCAUGGUCUUAGCUUGCUAAGGCCGAUGGCGACCGGCGCACGGGUGAGUAACACGUAUCCAACCUGCCGUCUACUCUUGGACAGCCUUCUGAAAGGAAGAUUAAUACAAGAUGGCAUCAUGAGUCCGCAUGUUCACAUGAUUAAAGGUAUUCCGGUAGACGAUGGGGAUGCGUUCCAUUAGAUAGUAGGCGGGGUAACGGCCCACCUAGUCUUCGAUGGAUAGGGGUUCUGAGAGGAAGGUCCCCCACAUUGGAACUGAGACACGGUCCAAACUCCUACGGGAGGCAGCAGUGAGGAAUAUUGGUCAAUGGGCGAGAGCCUGAACCAGCCAAGUAGCGUGAAGGAUGACUGCCCUAUGGGUUGUAAACUUCUUUUAUAAAGGAAUAAAGUCGGGUAUGGAUACCCGUUUGCAUGUACUUUAUGAAUAAGGAUCGGCUAACUCCGUGCCAGCAGCCGCGGUAAUACGGAGGAUCCGAGCGUUAUCCGGAUUUAUUGGGUUUAAAGGGAGCGUAGAUGGAUGUUUAAGUCAGUUGUGAAAGUUUGCGGCUCAACCGUAAAAUUGCAGUUGAUACUGGAUAUCUUGAGUGCAGUUGAGGCAGGCGGAAUUCGUGGUGUAGCGGUGAAAUGCUUAGAUAUCACGAAGAACUCCGAUUGCGAAGGCAGCCUGCUAAGCUGCAACUGACAUUGAGGCUCGAAAGUGUGGGUAUCAAACAGGAUUAGAUACCCUGGUAGUCCACACGGUAAACGAUGAAUACUCGCUGUUUGCGAUAUACAGCAAGCGGCCAAGCGAAAGCGUUAAGUAUUCCACCUGGGGAGUACGCCGGCAACGGUGAAACUCAAAGGAAUUGACGGGGGCCCGCACAAGCGGAGGAACAUGUGGUUUAAUUCGAUGAUACGCGAGGAACCUUACCCGGGCUUAAAUUGCAGAUGAAUUACGGUGAAAGCCGUAAGCCGCAAGGCAUCUGUGAAGGUGCUGCAUGGUUGUCGUCAGCUCGUGCCGUGAGGUGUCGGCUUAAGUGCCAUAACGAGCGCAACCCUUGUUGUCAGUUACUAACAGGUUCCGCUGAGGACUCUGACAAGACUGCCAUCGUAAGAUGUGAGGAAGGUGGGGAUGACGUCAAAUCAGCACGGCCCUUACGUCCGGGGCUACACACGUGUUACAAUGGGGGGUACAGAGGGCCGCUACCACGCGAGUGGAUGCCAAUCCCCAAAACCUCUCUCAGUUCGGACUGGAGUCUGCAACCCGACUCCACGAAGCUGGAUUCGCUAGUAAUCGCGCAUCAGCCACGGCGCGGUGAAUACGUUCCCGGGCCUUGUACACACCGCCCGUCAAGCCAUGGGAGCCGGGGGUACCUGAAGUGCGUAACCGCGAGGAGCGCCCUAGGGUAAAACUGGUGACUGG
This 1438-nucleotide ribosomal RNA is filed under the name uncultured organism. RNAcentral describes it as "SSU rRNA". It matches the Rfam family "Bacterial small subunit ribosomal RNA". The record is from RNAcentral.